GGCUGCAGCGUGAUCGCCUGCUCA
Molecule: non-coding RNA, 24 nt
Filed under: Mus musculus (house mouse)
Lineage: Eukaryota; Metazoa; Chordata; Mammalia; Rodentia; Muridae
Also listed under: 1 other name
Source: RNAcentral